CUCGUAGGUGGUUUGUCGCGUUGUUCGUGAAAACUCACAGCUCAACUGUGGGCGUGCGGGCGAUACGGGCAGACUGGAGUACUGCAGGGGAGACUGGAAUUCCUGGUGUAGCGGUGGAAUGCGCAGAUAUCAGGAGGAACACCGGUGGCGAAGGCGGGUCUCUGGGCAGUAACUGACGCUGAGGAGCGAAAGCGUGGGGAGCAAACA
This 207-nucleotide ribosomal RNA is filed under the name uncultured bacterium. RNAcentral's name for it is "partial 16S ribosomal RNA". It matches the Rfam family "Bacterial small subunit ribosomal RNA", at positions 568 to 774 of the family's 1533-position model. The record is from RNAcentral.